RNAcentral lists this unclassified non-coding RNA (424 nucleotides) under uncultured Tricholomataceae. RNAcentral's name for it is "sequence contains ITS2". The stretch from base 1 to 154 matches the Rfam family "5.8S ribosomal RNA". The record is from RNAcentral. Lineage: Eukaryota; Fungi; Basidiomycota; Agaricomycetes; Agaricales; Tricholomataceae.
AACUUGUGACAACGUAUCACGUGGCUCUCGCAUCGAUUAAGAACGCAGCGAAAUGCGAUAAGUAAUGUGAAUUGCAGAAUUCAGUGAAUCAUCGAAUCUUUGAACGCACCUUGCGCUCCUUGGUAUUCCGAGGAGCAUGCCUGUUUGAGUGUCAUUAAAUUCUCAACCUUCCAGCUUUUAUUAGCUUGGUUAGGCUUGGAUGUGGGGGUUGUGGGCUACAUUAAUGAGGUCAGCUCUCCUUAAAUGCAUUAGCGGAACUUUUGUGGACCGUCUAUUGGUGUGAUAAUUAUCUACGCCGUGGAUGUGAAGCAGCUUUAUGAAGUUCAGCUUCUAAUCGUCCAUUGACUUGGACAAUUUUUGACAAUUUGACCUCAAAUCAGGUAGGACUACCCGCUGAACUUAAGCAUAUCAAUAAGCGGAGGCU